GAUGAACGCUGGCGGCGUGCCUAACACAUGCAAGUCGAGCGGAUGGACGCAGCUUUUGCCUGGAUGCAGCGAGGGGCGGGUGAGUGAUUCAUAGGAGUAUGCCUGGCCUUAGGGAAUGACAUCCUGAAGCGAGCGCUGAUACCACAUACGACCAGAUUUUGAAACUGGGGGAUCUUCGGACAACAACGGAUCUGCUGAGCCUAGGUGGGAUUAGCUAGUUGGUUGGGUAACGGCCUACCAAGGCGACGAUCCGUAGCUGGUCUGAGAGGAUGAUCAGUCACACUGGAACGGAGACACGGUCCAGACUCCUACGGGAGGCAGCAGUGGGGAAUCUUGGGCAAUGGGCGAAAGCCUGACGCAGCGACGCCGCGUGUGUGAAGAAGGUCUUCGGAUCGUAAAGCACUUUUAGUUGGGAGGAACGGCUGUAAGUUAAUACGUUGCUGUUUUGACGUUACCAACUGAAUAAGCACCGGCUAACUACGUG
RNAcentral lists this ribosomal RNA (484 nucleotides) under uncultured bacterium. Its description in RNAcentral is "partial 16S ribosomal RNA". It matches the Rfam family "Bacterial small subunit ribosomal RNA", at positions 28 to 507 of the family's 1533-position model. The record is from RNAcentral.